ACACUGGGAUAGCCUUUCGAAAGAAAGAUUAAUACCGGAUGGCAUAGUCUUCCCGCAUGGGAUGAUUAUUAAAGAAUUUCGGUUGUCGAUGGGGAUGCGUUCCAUUAGGCAGUUGGCGGGGUAACGGCCCACCAAACCUACGAUGGAUAGGGGUUCUGAGAGGAAGGUCCCCCACAUUGGAACUGAGACACGGUCCAAACUCCUACGGGAGGCAGCAGUGAGGAAUAUUGGUCAAUGGACGAGAGUCUGAACCAGCCAAGUAGCGUGAAGGAUGACUGCCCUAUGGGUUGUAAACUUCUUUUAUACGGGAAUAAAGUUAGCCACGUGUGGUUUUUUGUAUGUACCGUAUGAAUAAGGAUCGGCUAACUCCGUGCCAGCAGCCGCGGUAAUACGGAGGAUCCGAGCGUUAUCCGGAUUUAUUGGGUUUAAAGGGAGCGUAGGCGGGUUGUUAAGUCAGUUGUGAAAGUUUGCGGCUCAACCGUAAAAUUGCAGUUGAUACUGGCGACCUUGAGUGCAACAGAGGUAGGCGGAAUUCGUGGUGUAGCGGUGAAAUGCUUAGAUAUCACGAAGAACUCCGAUUGCGAAGGCAGCUUACUGGAUUGUAACUGACGCUGAUGCUCGAAAGUGUGGGUAUCAAACAGGAUUAGAUACCCUGGUAGUCCACACAGUAAACGA
Molecule: ribosomal RNA, 675 nt
Filed under: uncultured bacterium
Lineage: Bacteria
Description: bacterial SSU rRNA
Rfam family: Bacterial small subunit ribosomal RNA
Source: RNAcentral